This 253-nucleotide ribosomal RNA is filed under the name uncultured bacterium. Its description in RNAcentral is "partial 16S ribosomal RNA". It matches the Rfam family "Bacterial small subunit ribosomal RNA", at positions 524 to 776 of the family's 1533-position model. The record is from RNAcentral.
UACGUAGGGUGCAAGCGUUGUCCGGAAUUAUUGGGCGUAAAGAGCUCGUAGGCGGUCUGUCGCGUCGGCUGUGAAAUCCCGGAGCUCAACUCCGGGUCUGCAGUCGAUACGGGCAAACUGGAGUACUGCAGGGGAGACUGGAAUUCCUGGUGUAGCGGUGAAAUGCGCAGAUAUCAGGAGGAACACCUGUGGCGAAAGCGGCUCACUGGACCAUAACUGACGCUGAUGCACGAAAGCUAGGGGAGCAAACAGG